This 2223-nucleotide long non-coding RNA is filed under the name Mus musculus (house mouse). RNAcentral's name for it is "predicted gene, 36691 (Gm36691)". The record is from RNAcentral. Lineage: Eukaryota; Metazoa; Chordata; Mammalia; Rodentia; Muridae.
GUCCUCAGAAGCCACGAGACAAACAGACACGGCUGAGCCAUACAUUUAAGGAAUCUUUUAAAGCCAAGGACUCCGAGCCUCCCAGCCAGGCUCUGGCCCUCCUGAUGUUGCUGACCUCCUGAGCAGGUAGAGAUAAAGAGUGCUGGGUAAUACAUCAGCCUGAUGGUUUCUUCAGACAGGCUGUCUUCAGGGCUCUAGAAGCCCAUACAGAAUAGAGCAGUUAGGAAGCAAGAUGAAGGCCGCAUGCACAAAGCCCUGGGUUUGAUCCCCAGACCCCCAUGAAUCAGACAUGGUGGUAAACACCUGCAAUCCUAGCAAUCAGGAGGUGAAAACAGGAGGAUUAAAGUGUCCAAGGUCAUCCUUGGCUACAUAAUACAUUCAAGACCAGACACAGCAACACAAGACCCUGCCUCCAGAAAAAAAGCAAUCUAACCCUGGCCAGGCCCCAUCAAGAUGCAAGGGUUGUGAGAGAAAGAUGGGUGGUGGCCACGGACAGAGUCUACGGACCAGGAAAUCGUGAGAAACACCGUGGACUUCAUGGGGUCUCCCGGUGGAGAAUUCUGAAGAUUGGUGCACCUUUCACUCCCAGACCACAGCCUCCCCAGUUCAUCCCAGCCAAGGAUGGAAGGGUCCCUCCCUACAUCGACAACAAGAGCCCACGGCUUCUCUCUCACCUGCGUAGGACAGCCGGUCACCAUGUUUGCUCUUUUUGAUGGAGGCUUGGGAAGGUGGAGACCGAACCAGGCUGUUCACACAUACAAACACAUUCCCCAUUUGUCUGGAAGAGAACCCGACUCUGCUGGGGAAACAUGCCAACCAGGUGUCCAUUCCACCCAAGCAGAGAGAAACUUGCAUUUUGCACGAAAGAAAAUGGGCUUGGUCCAAAGAAGACUUGAAGCUGCCACUUCCUCUGUGCCUGUCCAGCACUUACAGGUCGAGACGGGGUGCGGGGCUCAGAGCCCGGCUUCUGUUCUGAAAGCGCCAACACCCAGCUCACAGGCCAAUGGCCCUCCUUCCAGCUCAAAUGGCGGUACAUCAGCAUGCCUUUAAUCCCAGUACUCAGGAGGCAGAGGCAAAUGGAUCUCUGUGAGUUCAAGGCCAAUGUUGGCUACAGAGCAAGUUCCUGGACAGCCAGGGCUACACAAAGAAACCCUGUCUUAAUAAAACAAACAAGCAAACCAAAAAAAAAAAAAGUAGAGAGCAAUAGAGGAAGAUAAAGACACCCAGUGCUGACUUCUAGCUCCAUCCCAUAUGCACAACACCACACACACACACACACACACACACAGAGCCACAAAACAAAGGAGACUGCAGUUACUCCACAGUGGCAGUUGGAAAGUUCCAGUGUUUGGGUCAAAACAUUUUUAUGAAUACAUGCUUUUCAAAGCUGUAUCCAUCCAGUUGGGUGUGGCCAUCUCUGUACUCCCGGAGGAUGUGAGAAGCAAGCUUCAAAAGGAAUCUUUGCUUUUUCACUCUUUGGUGUGAUUUGGUGGCAGGUGGGACGUGUCCAUUUGGUUUUUUGUCUUGUUUUGGUUUGGUCUGGUCUGAUGUGGCUUGGUUUUAGGCACAAUCUCACCACUUAGCUCUGGUAAGCUCGGAGUUCACUAUGUAGACCAGGCUGGCCUCAAACUCACAGAGUUCUGCCUGCCUCUGCCUCCAGAGUACUGAGAUUAAAGGUGUGCGCCACCACACACAGCCUUGCCUUAUCUUUACUUUUUAACUUUAACAUUCAACUCAAUCUGUUUCUUAGGUCUGUUUAGGAUCUCGUUUUCCUGAGAUUGAUUUUCUUGUAAGUUCUUUAUUUUAUGUUUUGAUCGACACAUAAUAAACCCAUAUACUUAGAGCUUUUUUUCCUCCUUCCCUUUUGGGUAAAAGUCCCUGGCAUCCUUACAAGAUCCUCGAAGCCCCAGCUCAGGAAGAGAGAAAGGGAGAGAACACAUGCAGUAGGUCCUCUGUGGGGACCACGUCUCAAGUGCCAGCUGUGAAUCAUUAACGAUCAAUUCUUUGUGGGGAGGGGACUUUUGGGACUUUCUUUGUUGUACUUUUAACAAUCAGGAGCCACCUUCACCCAGCAGCUUCUCUGAGCUGUCACAUUAUUUAAAUGAGAGCCUGGGUGACAUUUGUAGAUGAAUGUUUCUCGGUAGAACCUAAAAAGAUGUGUUCUGAGCACAGCUUUGAUGGGCACAGUUCGGGCUUUAAAAAUAAAGGUUCUGAGCACUUUCA